RNAcentral lists this long non-coding RNA (215 nucleotides) under Carica papaya (papaya). RNAcentral's name for it is "long non-coding RNA (CPAP_LNC004393)". The record is from RNAcentral. Lineage: Eukaryota; Viridiplantae; Streptophyta; Magnoliopsida; Brassicales; Caricaceae.
UGUUUCCUCAACUCCUCCAUCUCAACGCGACUCAUGCAGUAAGGAGCAACCAAAAUGGGCUGGGUGUCUGGCUGUAGAUCUAAGGUGAACUUGACUUCCUUAUCCACUAGCAGUCCCUGUAGUUCAUCCAGAAACACAUCUGGAAAGUCUCGAACUACCGAAAUCUCUUAAAUACAAUUCUCUUUCUUGGAUUUGCCUAGUUAAAGAAAAUAGCA